UGUAGAUGAAAGAGCGCGCGCACGCUGUGUCGAUCUCCAUGUGGUUUCGCUGUAGAACAAUUUCGCAAAGCACGCAUGCCCUGCUGGUGUCAAUAUUCACGCCGGCAUUCGCAUCGCCAUUAGUUGACGAAAACUCGUAAACACAUUUGAAUCAUGCGAGAUUCACAUUAGCUUCUUCAGCAGGUGUUCGGCGGCCAAGUAAGCGCUUAAGGUCAAGAUAUUACAUAACCGGUGUAUACGCACGUCACACAAAUUAGUACAAAGACACCUGGUUCCACUUGCCUGCCUCUUAUGAAACCUAUGAUAAUAAGACAAGGACACGUGACAAGGCGCGUGACGCCUCCGGCUCCUCCCCUUUGCAAUUCACGUGGACAGGAUACUAUCACCAGCUGCUUGUUGCUAUGGAAACCCAAGGAUCAUGCUGAGUCCAGGUUGUUUGUUAGAGUGAGUCGUGCGUCAUAUGUCAGCUGGGGGCCUGGGAACACGAUCCGUAAACACAACGUCAUCGAGAUGCUGUGAAAAACACGGAAAAAAACCUUACAAUAAAAACAUAACUUUAUAGGAAGAGGCAAUGUUUAAGGAUAAAUUUAUGUGAUGUUGCUACUAAAUUUUGUUAUCGUCAUUAUCGAUGUUUGGAGAAAUAUCUGUCAAAUGUAUUUUCCCUAGGGCUAUCCAGUAAGAGCCACACAGUAAACUCAGCACGCAAUGAGAAAACACAUAAGAUAUGGACAAAUAAAAACUUCAUCUGAGA
This is a long non-coding RNA of Nematostella vectensis (starlet sea anemone), 751 nucleotides long. RefSeq lists it as uncharacterized. The record is from RefSeq and is a predicted model, not a curated record. The transcript is spliced from 2 exons. NCBI's taxonomy places the organism in Eukaryota, Metazoa, Cnidaria, Anthozoa, Actiniaria, Edwardsiidae.